RNAcentral lists this transfer RNA (76 nucleotides) under bacterium. RNAcentral describes it as "tRNA-Lys". It matches the Rfam family "tRNA". Rfam says of the family: Transfer RNA (tRNA) molecules are approximately 80 nucleotides in length. The record is from RNAcentral. RNAcentral also lists the same sequence under 1 other name.
GGGUUCGUAGCUCAAUCGGUAGAGCAGGGGCCUUUUAAGCCCAAGGUUCUGGGUUCGAUUCCCAGCGAACCCACCA